GUACAUAUUUCAAUAUAAAAAGCCCAAGGUCAUUAAUGGAACUUCGAAAUCAAUGAUGAAAAAUCACUAGAAUUGUGAAGAACCAUUCAUGCUACGAUGCUAUAAAUACUCACUCCAGUACUUCCUUUUAUAAGGAAAAAAUUGCCAUUAGGCAUUUUUAUACAGUUUCUUAUCUAAAUCCACUGUACUUUGAAAAAUGGGAUCACGAUUUGAGGUGGAAGUGAAGAUCUCAUCGGCUAAGGAUUUGAAGAACGUGAAUUGGCGUUACGGCCGUCUCAAGCCCUAUUCUGUUGUUUGGAUUGACCCUAAAGCUAAAUGCUCCACAAAAGUCGACGAAAAUGGUGACAUGUCCCCUUACUGGGACGAAAAACUCGUGAUUCCUUUGUAUUCUCCGAUCGAGGAAUCCACCUUGUACAUCGACGUCGUUCACGCUAACGCCGAAAAAGAUACCAAGCCUCUCAUUGGCUCCGCCAAGCUUCACCUCCGUGACGUCGUCGAUACUGUCGGCAUCGGCAACUGUUGUGAGCGUUCACUCGAUUUGAAGCGUCCUUCUGGUCGCCCUCAAGGGAAGGUGAAAGUUGAGGUCAGCGUUCGUGACCCGCGCUAUCGUGCGCCGGAUCCGUAUUAUGCGCCUCCUUACGGUGUUCCACCACCUGGAUCGCGGGAUUAUCCGGCUGCUCCGCCUCAACCUUACGGCGGAUCGUACGGUGCUCCUUCACCUGCUCCCUCUGCUGCGCCGCCGCAACCUUACGGCGGAUCGUACGGUGCGCCUGCUCCCUACGCUGCGCCGCCGUCGGGUUAUCCGUACAGCGCCGCUCCUGCUCCGGCACCUUAUGGUCAACAACAACCGAAUUACGGUGCUCCUCCUGCGCCGUACUCUCAGGGAGGUAGUUACGGGCAGCCCGGUUACUCGAUGGGAACUUACGGGCAGCAGCAGGGGAAUUACGGGCAGGCAAGCUAUGGGCAGCAAUCAGGGUACAAGUGCGAGGAGGAGAAGAAGAAGGGCAAGUUUGGAGGAAUGGGGUUGGGAGCAGGAUUGGCUAUGGGUGCGGUUGCAGGGGCAUUGGGUGGACUCGCGAUUUCGGAGGGUAUUGAUCACAUAGAGGAUAACAUCGCAGAUAAGGCUGCCGAGAAGGUUGAGGAUGAUCUCGCCGAUGAUGAUUAUGAUGGUGAUGAUUUCUAGGAAAAUUACCUACCAUCUUUGAUCUAGUUAACUUUGAUUUGCAUUUUCUAUGGUAGGAUUAUCCUGCAAGCUAAAAACUGGGUUCUUUAACCUUGAAAACAAAAGCUUGUAGACUUUAUGAUUUUAAUUAUUGUUUGAUGUAAUAUGUUUUGUCGUGACGAACACAUAAACAUGUAAUGUAUGCAAGUUGUUGCUAUCAAUUUGGAUGUUUACGUCCAAACUUCCAUUUGGCAGAUUUGCGAUCCGAUUAUGAUGGUGAUGAUUUCUAGGAAAUUACAUACCAUCUUUGAUCUAGUUAACUUUGAUUUGCAUUUUCUAUGGUAGAAUUAUCCUGAAAGAUAAAAAUUGGGUUCUUUAAAGCUUGUAAACUUUAUGCUUUUAAUUGUUGUUCGAUGUAAUAUGUGAAGUGUCGAACACAUAACAUGUAAUGGACAAAAGUUGUUGCUAUCAAUUUGGAUGUGUAUGUCCAAACUUACAUUA
Molecule: long non-coding RNA, 1663 nt
Filed under: Nicotiana benthamiana
Lineage: Eukaryota; Viridiplantae; Streptophyta; Magnoliopsida; Solanales; Solanaceae
Description: long non-coding RNA (NBEN_LNC023557)
Source: RNAcentral